UUCCGCAAUGGGCGCAAGCCUGACGGAGCAAUACCGCGUGAGGGAAGACUGCCUAUGGGUUGUAAACCUCUUUUUUCAGGGAGGAAUAAAAUGACGUGUACCUGAAGAAUAAGCAUCGGCUAACUCCGUGCCAGCAGCCGCGGUAAGACGGAGGAUGCAAGUGUUAUCCGGAAUCACUGGGCGUAAAGCGUCUGUAGGUGGUUUAAUAAGUCAACUGUUAAAUCUUGAGGCUCAACCUCAAAAUCGCAGUCGAAACUAUUAGACUAGAGUAUAGUAGAGGUAAAGGGAAUUUCCAGUGGAGCGGUGAAAUGCGUAGAUAUUGGAAAGAACACCGAUGGCGAAAGCACUUUACUGGGCUAUUACUAACACUCAGAGACGAAAGCUAGGGUAGCAAAUGGGAUUAGAUACCCCAGUAGUCCUAGCCGUAAACAAUGGAUACUAGAUGUUGAACAGAUCGACCUGUGCAGUAUCAAAGCUAACGCGUUAAGUU
RNAcentral lists this ribosomal RNA (490 nucleotides) under uncultured phototrophic eukaryote. Its description in RNAcentral is "bacterial SSU rRNA". It matches the Rfam family "Bacterial small subunit ribosomal RNA", at positions 364 to 866 of the family's 1533-position model. The record is from RNAcentral.